Photinus pyralis (common eastern firefly) is the source of this 403-nucleotide long non-coding RNA. RefSeq lists it as uncharacterized. The transcript is spliced from 2 exons. NCBI's taxonomy places the organism in Eukaryota, Metazoa, Arthropoda, Insecta, Coleoptera, Lampyridae. The record is from RefSeq and is a predicted model, not a curated record.
AUUUUAGCAUCAAAGAAUUUAAACAAGUUCCCGCCCGCCGCGCCUGAAAAGAUUUUGUACCGCUAUCGGUACCUAUCGGUGACACUUGGACUUACUAGUUCCUUGUCCUUUUAAGUCCAAUUGCAUGGCCGUAAAGUUUGGCACUUCGUGUUUGGGCAAAACGGGUGUCAACAUGAAUCUGAUGACUAAAGGAUGGCUCGUGAAAUAUUCCAAGAAUUCGCGAAGAAUGUGCAACACUUUGUAUGCCAAUUAACAUGAAAAUAAUAUUCGGUAACAUUUCUGUAAUUUUAUUCACUACGUUAGCCGAUAAAUAUUUAAACUAUAAAUACGGAAUAUUGUUGAUAUAAUCAUGUAGGUAUGUGAUAAAUGGAUUGGCCUAGAUUAUAACUAUGAGCAAAUUUUA